RNAcentral lists this ribosomal RNA (442 nucleotides) under uncultured bacterium. Its description in RNAcentral is "partial 16S ribosomal RNA". It matches the Rfam family "Bacterial small subunit ribosomal RNA", at positions 338 to 795 of the family's 1533-position model. The record is from RNAcentral.
CCUACGGGUGGCAGCAGUGGGGAAUAUUGGGCAAUGGGCGAAAGCCUGACCCAGCAACGCCGCGUGAAGGAAGAAGGCUUUCGGGUUGUACACUUCUUUUGACAGGGAAGAGCAGAAGACGGUACCUGUCGAAUAAGCCACGGCUAACUACGUGACAGCAGUCGCGGUAAUACGUAGGUGGCAAGAGUUGUCCGGAUUUACUGGGGGUAAAGGGCGUGUAGCCGGGCUGACAAGUCAGAUGUGAAGUCCGGGGGCUCAACCCCCGAACUGCAUUUGAAACUGUUGGUCUGGAGUAUCGGAGAGGCAGGCGGAAUUCCUAGUGUAGCGGGGAAAGGCGUAGAUAUUAGGAGGAACACCAGAGGCGAAGGCGGCCUGCUGGACGACAACUGACGGUGAGGCGCGAAAGCGUGGGGAGCAAACAGGAUUAGAUACCCUAGUAGUC